UACGAAGGGGGCUAGCGUUGCUCGGAAUCACUGGGCGUAAAGCGCACGUAGGCGGCUUUUUAAGUCAGGGGUGAAAUCCUGGAGCUCAACUCCAGAACUGCCUUUGAUACUGGCAGCUAGAGUCCGGAAGAGGUAAGUGGAACUCCUAGUGUAGAGGUGGAAUUCGUAGAUAUUAGGAAGAACACCAGUGGCGAAGGCGGCUUACUGGUCCGGAACUGACGCUGAGGUGCGAAAGCGUGGGGAGCAAACAGG
Molecule: ribosomal RNA, 252 nt
Filed under: uncultured bacterium
Lineage: Bacteria
Description: partial 16S ribosomal RNA
Rfam family: Bacterial small subunit ribosomal RNA
Source: RNAcentral